GCCUCAGUAACGGCGAGUGAAGCGGCAACAGCUCAAAUUUGAAAUCUGGCCUUCUGGUCCGAGUUGUAAUUUGUAGAGGAUGCUUUUGGUGCGGUGCCUUCCGAGUUCCCUGGAACGGGACGCCUUAGAGGGUGAGAGCCCCGUACGGUUGGACGCCUAGCCUCUGUAAAGCUCCUUCGACGAGUCGAGUAGUUUGGGAAUGCUGCUCAAAAUGGGAGGUAAAUUUCUUCUAAAGCUAAAUACCGGCCAGAGACCGAUAGCGCACAAGUAGAGUGAUCGAAAGAUGAAAAGCACUUUGAAAAGAGGGUUAAAUAGUACGUGAAAUUGUUGAAAGGGAAGCGCUUAUGACCAGACUUUUUCCUAGAGGAUCAUCCGGUGUUCUCACCGGUGCACUUCUCUAGGUUGAGGCCAGCAUCGGUUUCCGUAGGGGGAUAAAAACUUAGGGAAUGUGGCUCUUUCGGGAGUGUUAUAGCCCUUUGUAUAAUACCCUUCUGGGGACCGAGGUUCGCGCUUUGCAAGGAUGCUGGCGUAAUGGUCAUCAGUGACCCGUCUUGAAACACGGACCAAGGAGUCGAACAUUUGUGCGAGUGUUUGGGUGUAAAACCCGCACGCGUAAUGAAAGUGAACGCUGGUGAGAGCUUCGGCGCAUCAUCGACCGAUCCUGAUGUAUUCGGAUGGAUUUGAGUAAGAGCGUAAAGCUUCGGACCCGAAAGAUGGUGAACUAUGCGUGGAUAGGGUGAAGCCAGAGGAAACUCUGGUGGAGGCUCGCAGCGGUUCUGACGUGCAAAUCGAUCGUCAAAUCUGAGCAUGGGGGCGAAAG
RNAcentral lists this ribosomal RNA (820 nucleotides) under Pleurophragmium triseptatum. RNAcentral's name for it is "eukaryotic LSU rRNA". It matches the Rfam family "Eukaryotic large subunit ribosomal RNA", at positions 77 to 929 of the family's 3401-position model. The record is from RNAcentral. Lineage: Eukaryota; Fungi; Ascomycota; Sordariomycetes.